This 23-nucleotide non-coding RNA is filed under the name Arabidopsis thaliana (thale cress). Lineage: Eukaryota; Viridiplantae; Streptophyta; Magnoliopsida; Brassicales; Brassicaceae. The record is from RNAcentral.
UGCGACUUAACAAGGUGUUUCAU